RNAcentral lists this ribosomal RNA (558 nucleotides) under uncultured bacterium. RNAcentral's name for it is "bacterial SSU rRNA". It matches the Rfam family "Bacterial small subunit ribosomal RNA", at positions 777 to 1331 of the family's 1533-position model. The record is from RNAcentral.
AAUAGAUACCCGGGUAGUCCUGGCAGUAAACGGUGCACGUUUGGUGUGGGCAGGUUCAGACCCUGGUCCGUGCCGGAGCUAACGCGUUAAACGUGCCGCCUGGGAAGUACGGUCGCAAGAUUAAAACUCAAAGAAAUUGACGGGGGCCCGCACAAGCGGUGGAGUAUGUGGUUUAAUUCGAAGCAACGCGAAGAACCUUACCAGGUCUUGACAUCCCACUGACCGCUAUGGAGACAUAGUUUUCCCUUCGGGGACAGUGGUGACAGGUGGUGCAUGGUUGUCGUCAGCUCGUGUCGUGAGAUGUUGGGUUAAGUCCCGCAACGAGCGCAACCCUUGAUCUUAGUUGCCAUCAUUUAGUUGGGCACUCUAAGGUGACUGCCGGUGACAAACCGGAGGAAGGUGGGGAUGACGUCAAAUCAUCAUGCCCCUUAUGACCUGGGCUACACACGUGCUACAAUGGACGGUACAAACGGUUGCCAACCCGCGAGGGGGAGCUAAUCCGAUAAAACCGUUCUCAGUUCGGAUUGUAGGCUGCAACUCGCCUACAUGAAGCCGGAA